This 2904-nucleotide ribosomal RNA is filed under the name Clostridioides difficile. RNAcentral describes it as "23S ribosomal RNA". It matches the Rfam family "Bacterial large subunit ribosomal RNA". The record is from RNAcentral. Lineage: Bacteria; Bacillati; Bacillota; Clostridia; Peptostreptococcales; Peptostreptococcaceae.
UGGUCAAGUUAUUAAGGGUGCAGGGCGGAUGCCUUGGCACUAGGAGCCGAUGAAGGACGUGAUAAGCUGCGAUAAGCUUCGGGGAGUUGCACGUAAACUUUGAUCCGAAGAUUUCCGAAUGAGGAAACUCACUUAGAGUAAUGUCUAAGUAUCAUUAAGUGAAUACAUAGCUUAAUGAGGGGAACUCAGGGAACUGAAACAUCUAAGUACCUGAAGGAAGAGAAAGAAAUUCGAUUCCGUAAGUAGCGGCGAGCGAACGCGGAUUAGCCCAAACUAAUAAAGUUUUCUUUAUUGGGGUUGCGGACAUAUCAUAACGAAGAGGUAUCGUAAUUGAAGAGGUUUGGAAAGACCCACCACAGAAGGUAAUAGUCCUGUAUGUUAAACGAGAAGACUUUUAGAUAUGAUCCAGAGUACCACGGGACACGUGAAACCCUGUGGGAAGCAGGAGGGACCACCCUCCAAGGCUAAAUACUACCUAGUGACCGAUAGCGUAUAGUACCGUGAGGGAAAGGUGAAAAGAACCCCGGGAGGGGAGUGAAAUAGAACCUGAAACCCUGCACUUACAAGCUGUGGAAGCACAUUUCUUGUGUGACCGCGUACUUUUUGUAGAACGGGCCAACGAGUUACGUUAAGUAGCAAGGUUAAGCACUUAAGGUGCGGAGCCGUAGCGAAAGCGAGUUUUAACUGAGCGUUCAGUUACUUGACGUAGACCCGAAACCGGGCGACCUACCCAUGAGCAGGAUGAAGCGAAAGUAAAAUUUCGUGGAGGUCCGAACCCACGAGCGUUGAAAAGCUCGGGGAUGACUUGUGGGUAGCGGUGAAAUUCCAAUCGAGCCCGGAGAUAGCUGGUUCUCCCCGAAAUAGCUUUAGGGCUAGCCUCAAGGUGAGAGAUACGGAGGUAGAGCACUGAAUGUCCUAGGGGGUAUUGCACCUACCGAAGACUAUCAAACUCCGAAUGCCGUCAUCUUAUACUUGGGAGUCAGACUGUGGGUGAUAAGAUUCAUAGUCGAAAGGGCAACAGCCCAGAUCGUCAGCUAAGGUCCCUAAAUGUAAGUUAAGUGGUAAAGGAUGUGGGAUUGCACAGACAACCAGGAUGUUGGCUUAGAAGCAGCCACUCAUUCAAAGAGUGCGUAAUAGCUCACUGGUCGAGUGAUCCUGCGCCGAAGAUUUCCGGGGCUAAAACUUACUACCGAAGCUACGGCAUCAGUAAUGAUGGGUAGGGGAGCUUCCCAUACGGGUUGAAGCAUGACCGUAAGGACAUGUGGACAGUAUGGGAGUGAGAAUGUUGGCAUGAGUAGCGAGAUGUGGGUGAGAAUCCCACAGGCCGUAAACCCAAGGUUUCCAGGGGGAAGGUUCGUCCGCCCUGGGUUAGUCGGGACCUAAGCUGAGGCCGAAAGGCGUAGGUGAUGGACAACAGGUUGAUAUUCCUGUACUACCGAUAACCGUUUGAGGAGAAGGGAUGACACAGUAGGAUAAGCUAAGCACACUGUUGGUUAUGUGUGCCCAAGCAUUGAGGCAGUCAAAGUAGGCAAAUCCGCUUUGAUAAUGCUGGGGUGUGAUGGGGAGCGAAAUUUAGUAGCGAAGUAGCUGAUUUCACACUGUCAAGAAAAGUCUCUAUCGAGGUUAAAGGUACCCGUACCGCAAACCGACACAGGUGGGUGAGGAGAGUAUCCUAAGGCCAGCGAGAGAACUGUUGUUAAGGAACUCGGCAAAAUGACCCCGUAACUUAGGGAUAAGGGGUGCCACCAUCAGGUGGCCGCAGAGAAUAGGCCCAAGCGACUGUUUACCAAAAACAUAGGUUUCUGCUAAGUCGCAAGACGAUGUAUAGGAGCUGACGCCUGCCCGGUGCUGGAAGGUUAAGGGGAUCUGUUAGAGCAAUCGAAGCAGUGAACUUAAGCCCCAGUAAACGGCGGCCGUAACUAUAACGGUCCUAAGGUAGCGAAAUUCCUUGUCGGGUAAGUUCCGACCCGCACGAAAGGCGUAACGAUUUGGGCACUGUCUCAACAACAGACUCGGUGAAAUUGUAAUUCCGGUGAAGAUGCCGGAUACCUGCGACAGGACGGAAAGACCCCAUGGAGCUUUACUGUAGCUUGACAUUGGGUCUUGGUACUACAUGUACAGGAUAGGUGGGAGGCUUUGAAACCAGGACGCCAGUUUUGGCGGAGCCAUCCUUGGGAUACCACCCUUGUAGUACUGGGACUCUAACCAUAGGCCAUGAAUCUGGUCUUGGGACACUGUCAGGUGGGCAGUUUGACUGGGGCGGUCGCCUCCCAAAAAGGUAACGGAGGCGCUCAAAGGUUCUCUCAGUACGGUCGGAAAUCGUACGUAGAGUGUAAAGGCAAAAGAGAGCUUGAUUGCAAGACAUACAGGUCGAGCAAGGAUGAAAAUCGGACUUAGUGAUCCGGUGGUUCUGCGUGGAAGGGCCAUCGCUCAACGGAUAAAAGCUACCCUGGGGAUAACAGGCUUAUCUCCCCCAAGAGUCCACAUCGACGGGGAGGUUUGGCACCUCGAUGUCGGCUCAUCACAUCCUGGGGCUGUAGUAGGUCCCAAGGGUUGGGCUGUUCGCCCAUUAAAGUGGUACGCGAGCUGGGUUCAGAACGUCGUGAGACAGUUCGGUCCCUAUCCGUCGCAGGCGUAGGAAAUUUGAGAAGACCUGUCCUUAGUACGAGAGGACCGGGAUGGACGUACCUCUGGUGUACCAGUUGUCCUGCCAAGGGCAUGGCUGGGUAGCUAUGUACGGAAUGGAUAAGCGCUGAAAGCAUCUAAGCGCGAAGCCAACUUCAAGAUAAGAUUUCCCACCGCAAGGGUAAGACCCCAGAAAGACUAUCUGGUUGAUAGGUCGAAGGUGUAAGUGCAGCAAUGUAUUUAGCUUAUCGAUACUAAUAGGUCGAGGACUUGACCAAU